RNAcentral lists this transfer RNA (69 nucleotides) under Ictidomys tridecemlineatus (thirteen-lined ground squirrel). RNAcentral describes it as "Spermophilus tridecemlineatus (thirteen-lined ground squirrel) tRNA". It matches the Rfam family "tRNA". Rfam says of the family: Transfer RNA (tRNA) molecules are approximately 80 nucleotides in length. The record is from Rfam by way of RNAcentral. RNAcentral also lists the same sequence under 1 other name. Lineage: Eukaryota; Metazoa; Chordata; Mammalia; Rodentia; Sciuridae.
GGGACUGUGGCUCAGUAGUAGAGCAUUUGCCUGGCAUGUGUGAGGCACUGGGUUCGAUUCUCAGCACCA